CAGAGUUGCAAGACUCCCUAAACCAUUGUGAACCUACCUUCUACCGUUGCUUCGGCGGGCGGGCCCAGCGCCCCCCCGGCCCCCCGCGGGCGCCCGCCGGAGGAUACCCAAACUCUUAACAUUAGUGGCCUCUCUGAGUAUUCUUUACUGAAUAAGUCA
Molecule: unclassified non-coding RNA, 159 nt
Filed under: soil metagenome
Description: partial internal transcribed spacer 1
Source: RNAcentral